GACGAACGCUGGCGGCGUGCUUAACACAUGCAAGUCGUACGGUAAGGCCCUUUCGGGGGUACACGAGUGGCGAACGGGUGCGUAACACGUGAGUAACCUGCCCACAACUUUGGGAUAACGCUAGGAAACUGGUGCUAAUACUGGAUAUGUGCUCCUGCUGCAUGGUGGGGGUUGGAAAGCUCCGGCGGUUGUGGAUGGACUCGCGGCCUAUCAGCUUGUUGGUGGGGUAGUGGCCUACCAAGGCGGCGACGGGUAGCCGGCCUGAGAGGGUGACCGGCCACAUUGGGACUGAGAUACGGCCCAGACUCCUACGGGAGGCAGCAGUGGGGAAUAUUGCACAAUGGGCGCAAGCCUGAUGCAGCAACGCCGCGUGCGGGAUGACGGCCUUCGGGUUGUAAACCGCUUUCAGCAGGGACGAAGCUUUUUGGGACGGUGCCUGCAGAAGAAGCACCGGCUAACUACGU
Molecule: ribosomal RNA, 464 nt
Filed under: uncultured bacterium
Lineage: Bacteria
Description: partial 16S ribosomal RNA
Rfam family: Bacterial small subunit ribosomal RNA
Source: RNAcentral